Molecule: long non-coding RNA, 584 nt
Organism: Myzus persicae (green peach aphid)
Lineage: Eukaryota; Metazoa; Arthropoda; Insecta; Hemiptera; Aphididae
Exons: 2
Source: RefSeq, a predicted model, not a curated record
UAUUUGGUAUUUAUAAAUUCAAUAUAACUAACUGACAUUUCUUUUUCAGUUAACAGCGUAGAAGACCUUUCAAAAUUGGCCCAGUCUUCAGAAAAAACAAAACAGGUAUGUAAUCAGGUACAAGUAAAAUUGGCCAAACAAAAUGGCCCAGUCGGUGUCUUCUUCAUUAAAAACAUUUCAUUUGAAUUCAAAAUACAAAACAUACUACACCAAUGUGGUUUGAAUAGAACCAAAUGUCAAUGUUCAAUGUUUAUCUCAUAAACAUAUGAAAAAAUCAUCCACUUUAUGAAAAGAAAUUAAGUAAUUUAAUACAAUGUCAACUCACAGUUAAACAGCUACAAUAAAGUUACAUGAAGUCCUAAGAAGCAGCAAAGUAUUGUUAAUUAUUGCCUAAGGUCCGGCCAAACUACAGACUGACAUUGUUGAUUGACAAUUUACUCAUAUCCAGAUUCAAUCGUUUUUUAUAUUAUAGCUGGGACAAUAAAUUAACUAACUUGUUGCAUCAACAUACGACCGCUGACUACCGUUAAUACAUUAUUGUUUUUGAUUUAUAAACCUCUAAAUUCGCAAUACUAUAUGCUGUU